GAUGAACGCUGGCGGCGUGCUUAACACAUGCAAGUCGAACGAAGCACCUUAUUCUGAUUUCUUCGGAAUGAAAAAUUUGGUGACUGAGUGGCGGACGGGUGAGUAACGCGUGGGUAACCUGCCUCAUACAGGGGGAUAACAGUUAGAAAUGACUGCUAAUACCGCAUAAGACCACAGCACCGCAUGGUGCAGGGGUAAAACUCCGGUGGUAUGAGAUGGACCCGCGUCUGAUUAGGUAGUUGGUGGGGUAACGGCCUACCAAGCCGACGAUCAGUAGCCGACCUGAGAGGGUGACCGGCCACAUUGGGACUGAGACACGGCUCAA
Molecule: ribosomal RNA, 325 nt
Filed under: uncultured bacterium
Lineage: Bacteria
Description: bacterial SSU rRNA
Rfam family: Bacterial small subunit ribosomal RNA
Source: RNAcentral